Molecule: ribosomal RNA, 253 nt
Filed under: uncultured bacterium
Lineage: Bacteria
Description: partial 16S ribosomal RNA
Rfam family: Bacterial small subunit ribosomal RNA
Source: RNAcentral
AACGGAGGGUGCAAGCGUUGUUCGGAAUUACUGGGCGUAAAGCGCGUGCAGGCGGCUUUCUAAGUUUCGUGUGAAAUCCCUUGGCUUAACCGAGGAACAGCGCGGAAAACUGGAAGGCUCGAGUACGGGAGAAGUGGGCGGAAUUCCCAGUGUAGAGGUGAAAUUCGUAGAUAUUGGGAGGAACACCGGCGGCGAAAGCGGCUCACUAGACCGAUACUGACGCUCAUACGCGAGAGCAUGGGUAGCAAACAGG